Molecule: long non-coding RNA, 624 nt
Filed under: Marmota monax (woodchuck)
Lineage: Eukaryota; Metazoa; Chordata; Mammalia; Rodentia; Sciuridae
Source: RNAcentral
GUGCCUUACACAUAAUGGCCUGCAAGGUGGCUUCUAGAAUUUUCCCCAUUAUCCAGAUGAUGAAACAGAAGCUCUGCAGAACUGAAAGGCUCGUUAGUGGUUGUGGAGGAAUUUGAGCUGAGAUCCGGUGAACCACACAACCAGUGCUUUAAUCCCCUACAUUCCGGGACCCCUCCUCUAUGGGUGGCAAAGCUAGAAUUUCUGCUUUAGGAACCUAGCUCCUGAGUCUGGAAUUGGGGACUCAGGGAGUCUCACAGCCCAUAGGGCUUAGAGAGUCAGUGUUGCCCCCUCCUCUGAGUAGGCCAGGUGAGGUUCAAGUGAUGACCUGAUAAAUAUGUCACUCAGUGCCACUGGCUCCUGCUCUAAAGGGGUGUGGGUCCACCCACAGUUGUAGCUGGGGCACAUUUUGUUUCGACCCCAUAAGGGGACACACCACCCCAGUGCCACUUUGCCCCCUUUUCCUUAGGACAAGGAGCAGAAGGGUAAGUGACAUGCCAGAACCAUCUGCCCAGCUCCUAAUAAUAAAUCCUGAGUGGAACAAGUUCCGGGCAAACAUUGCUUUAAAGGGGGGGCUCUUCUCACACCCAGGCAGCCAUCUGCCUCCUCCUCACGUGCCAAGCUGUG